RNAcentral lists this ribosomal RNA (597 nucleotides) under uncultured Bacteroidales bacterium. RNAcentral describes it as "bacterial SSU rRNA". It matches the Rfam family "Bacterial small subunit ribosomal RNA", at positions 60 to 646 of the family's 1533-position model. The record is from RNAcentral. Lineage: Bacteria; Pseudomonadati; Bacteroidota; Bacteroidia; Bacteroidales.
AGUCGAGGGGCAGCAUGGUCUUAGCUUGCUAAGGCCGAUGGCGACCGGCGCACGGGUGAGUAACACGUAUCCAACCUGCCGUCUACUCUUGGACAGCCUUCUGAAAGGAAGAUUAAUACAAGAUGGCAUCAUGAGUCCACAUGUUCACAUGAUUAAAGGUAUUCCGGUAGACGAUGGGGAUGCGUUCCAUUAGAUAGUAGGCGGGGUAACGGCCCACCUAGUCUUCGAUGGAUAGGGGUUCUGAGAGGAAGGUCCCCCACAUUGGAACUGAGACACGGUCCAAACUCCUACGGGAGGCAGCAGUGAGGAAUAUUGGUCAAUGGGCGCAGGCCUGAACCAGCCAAGUAGCGUGAAGGAUGACUGCCCUAUGGGUUGUAAACUUCUUUUAUAAAGGAAUAAAGUCGGGUAUGCAUACCCGUUUGCAUGUACUUUAUGAAUAAGGAUCGGCUAACUCCGUGCCAGCAGCCGCGGUAAUACGGAGGAUCCGAGCGUUAUCCGGAUUUAUUGGGUUUAAAGGGAGCGUAGAUGGAUGUUUAAGUCAGUUGUGAAAGUUUGCGGCUCAACCGUAAAAUUGCAGUUGAUACUGGAUAUCUUGAG